CAUUACAGGAAGCCGAAAGGCAACUUCAAACCAUUGCGAACGUAUCCUAGUUGCUUCGGCGGCGCGGGACCCCUCGGGGGACCGCAGCCCACGCCCUCCGGGGCGAGGGGCGCCCGCCGGAGGUCACAAACUCUCGUGUAUUACAGUGGCGUCUCUGAGUAAAAAAAAAUGAGUCAAAACUUUCAACAACGGAUCUCUUGGUUCUGGCAUCGAUGAAGAACGCAGCGAAAUGCGAUAAGUAAUGUGAAUUGCAGAAUUCAGUGAAUCAUCGAAUCUUUGAACGCACAUUGCGCCCGCUAGUACUCUAGCGGGCAUGCCUGUUCGAGCGUCAUUUCAACCCUCAAGCCCGGCUUGGUGUUGGGGCCCUACGGCUGCCGUAGGCCCUGAAAGGAAGUGGCGGGCUCGCUACAACUCCGAGCGUAGUAAUUCGUUUUCUCGCUAUGGACGUUGCGGCGGUGCUCCUGCCGUUAAAGACCCAUCUUUAACCAAAGGUUG
This 495-nucleotide ribosomal RNA is filed under the name uncultured fungus. Its description in RNAcentral is "eukaryotic LSU rRNA". The stretch from base 178 to 331 matches the Rfam family "5.8S ribosomal RNA". The record is from RNAcentral. Lineage: Eukaryota; Fungi.